This is a long non-coding RNA of Aquila chrysaetos chrysaetos, 945 nucleotides long. RefSeq lists it as uncharacterized. The record is from RefSeq and is a predicted model, not a curated record. NCBI's taxonomy places the organism in Eukaryota, Metazoa, Chordata, Aves, Accipitriformes, Accipitridae. The transcript has 3 exons.
GGGCCGGGUCGCCAUCCCGCCCCGGCCCCGAGUCCCAGGUGCCGCUGAAGGUUGUCGUCGAGCUGCAGGUCCGCGGAGCAGGGUGUCCGGGGCGGCGGGGAGGGAGGGAGUAGCGGCGGGUCGCCCCAGGCAGCCGGUACGGGGGGAGGCAGAAUCUCGUCACCGCCGUUAUUCCGGGACCCAGAGGUGCCUCACCGUACGACACGGCGACACAUACAUGAACAGAUGCGCACCCGUAUACAGACCGUAUGUGUGCGUACGUACGUGUAUACACGUGUACUGUGAAUACUUGUGCGCGUACAUCUGUGACCGCGCCUUCAGUUCUAAGAGCUCCUGGGGAGCUGUCUGGUUUUUAACGGCUUGGUUCUCAUCUGGGAAUGGAAGUUCAUGUAAAAUGAGGCCAUACCUUUGCAGUCAUAAUACCCCUGUGAAGAUUAAAACGUGCCCUUGUUGUAGCCAUAGAUUCUCCUCCGUGGAGUUAUGUAGCUCUUCCUCCAAACAGGAGGCGCUGGCUGGUUAUUUGGGGCUGCGGGUAUAAAGUCUCCUAGAAAGAGUAUGCAAGGAAAAAGUUAGAUUAAAUGCGGGGUUUUUCUUGCUGUGUGACAUUUAUUUAAUGAAGGGGAUUACUGCUGUCGUGCAAAUGGAUGGUAGUAAUAUGUUGCUCAUAGCAGGUCUCCUCAUCAGAUGUAAGAAAAAGAACAAAAUGGUGGUUUUCAUUUGUUCGUUUCCUUGUGUUUGAAAGUGCCAUAGAUCCUGCUGCAGUAACUGAAAGGCUUGAAAGUUGCUCUGAAUUGCGUCAUCUGAGUGUCAGCCUCUACAACUGCCCCUCGAGUCAAUUACAUGAUUUUUCCGUUCUUAGACCAAGCUGUGUUCUGACACCUAGUGUAACACUGGGCUAACCUGACAGGUCUGCUUUUUAUUUUUUCGAUCAGCAAUUCUUUAUUU